UUUAAAAUUUUUAAAAGGGGCGGGCAAUAUGAAUAUUUUCAAUAAAAAAAAUUUAAAAAUUAAAUUUUUAAAUUUUUAAUUUUAAAUCCAAUUUUAAAAUUUUAUUACAAUAAAUUUUUCCAACAAUUUUUUUAAAAUAGUAUUCCAUUAAAAAUUUAAUUAUAAAAUAUAUUAUGAUUUGAAAUCUUUUCUUUUUUUUUAAAAAAAAAAAAAAUAAUUUUUAAAUAUUAUUUUAACAACAAUAUAUAAUUAAAUAAAUUAAAUAAAUUAUAUUGGGUAUUAUCAAUUAAAAAACAAAAUCCUCUAAUUUUAUUAAAUACUACCAAAUUAAUUAAUUUUAAUAAAUAAAAUAAUAAUUUUAUUUUUUUUAAAAAAAUAAAUAAUA
Molecule: ribosomal RNA, 385 nt
Filed under: Schizomyia castanopsisae
Lineage: Eukaryota; Metazoa; Arthropoda; Insecta; Diptera; Cecidomyiidae
Description: partial 12S ribosomal RNA
Source: RNAcentral